GAUGAACGCUGGCGGCGUGCCUAAUACAUGCAAGUCGAACGAACAGAUGAGGAGCUUGCUCCUCUGACGUUAGCGGCGGAGGGGUGAGUCACAUGUGGAUAAUCUCCCUAUAAGACUGGGAUAACUACGGGAAACCGGCGCAUAUCCCGGAUAAUCUCUUGCACCGCAUGGUUCAAUAGUGAAAGACGGUUUUGCUGUAUCUUAUCGCUGGAUCCGCGCCGCAUGAGCUAGUUGGUAAGGUAACAGCUUACCAAGGCAACGAGGCGUAGCCGACCUGAGAGGGUGGUCGCCCACACGGGAACUGAGACACGGACCAUACGCCUGCGGGAGGCAGCAGUAUGGAAUCGGACGCAAUAGGCGAGAGCCUUACAGAGCAACGCGGCGUGAGUGAUGGAGGUCUUCGGAGCGGGAAGCCCUGUUAUUAGUUGAGAACAAAUGUGUAAGUAGCCAUGCACUUAUUGACGGUACCUAGUCAGAAAGCCACGGCUAACUACGUG
Molecule: ribosomal RNA, 497 nt
Filed under: uncultured bacterium
Lineage: Bacteria
Description: partial 16S ribosomal RNA
Rfam family: Bacterial small subunit ribosomal RNA
Source: RNAcentral